AAUUAAUUACUUUUUAGUAAAUUUUUUAAAAUAAUAAUUAUUAUUAAUACAUAAAAAAUGAGAGUACUACUAUUAUUAUUUGAAAAUUAAUUAUAUAAUACAUAAUUAAAAAAUAUAUAGAAGCGCUAUUGAACCAUUUUGCAUGUUACGCUUUGGCUAAAGAAGAUGGUGAUGUCUUCAUCAUCCCGCAGGACCUGUGCCCGUCCUCUUAAAGGACAUCAAGUAACUAAACUCGCUCCCAAAUCAACCUUUGGACCUGUGUGCCACUGUGCCUUGCUAUAGUAUCAACAUUCUGAUGAGCUUCUUGCUAGCCUCUCAAGCAAGAUAUAAAAUUAAAGCAGAUGCUGAUGAAACAUCGACUAAUUCUACAAUUUACAACUUUACACAGGCACUGUGCAAGUCACGUGGUUGAAUAUAUAUGCAUGUAUUGUGUAUUACAACAAGGAUUCACUGGGUACAUACAAAAAUCAACACCUAUAAUGUAUGUAUCAUGCAAUGAGAUUUUGAGGGUAACCUUUCCAAACUGCCCUAACAGGAAAAACUGAAGCAACGCGUUGUACCUGCAGAAGAAAAAAGAGGUUAAUCUGCAAUAUUUGUCUCCAAAAGAGCUCAAUGGGGAGAAAAAGAUAGGUAAGUAUAUGAACCAGUCUUUUGGUGUUAACAUAUCCUAGGAAAGGAAAAGGUGAACGGUUUGGCAUGUGAAUACAAAUGCUGCAGUUAAAAUUUAACUUGAUCUAUUUGAUGUGGUUCCAAACGGAAGUUGAUGAUGGCUAUAAACAAUCCUUUGGUAAGAACGAAAAAAAUAUAAUCAUUGGUACUCUUCAAGUGAAAAGUUUUUCUUUUUCCAACCACAAUUUGAUGGAGUAACUCUCAACUCAACCAAGCCUUAAUCCCAAACUCAUUUGGACAAAUUUGAUGAGGUAAAAAAUGAUUUUUUUUUUCAAAACUUGUUUUCACUGCUACAAAAGUAUUGUCAGAACAGUUCUCUAAAUAAAUGAUUACUAACCUUGGUUAAAGUUUCAAAUGCUUCAAGCUUCUGGAGAAAACCUGAACACAUCUUACAAAAUGCUCAAGACCUAAAACUACACUGCAUUAUCUCACAUCUUAGUGCUAGACUCAACAAAUGAAUCAAAAUGAUCAUGUAAGGCCAUCACCAAAAAUCACAGCCUGACCAAGCACUGUUCUAACACGAAGCUGCUAGAAAUGAAGCAUAGAAUGUGGUUCAAAAUUAAACAUUUCGGAUAAGUAAAAGGGAAAUCCACAGUCCACAUUAGAUAAAUGUAGGACCUUCACAUCCAAGCAGGGAUCAUUGACCAUAUUCCUUAUUUCAGGUACUAUGCCCAGACUCCGUAGUUUAAUAAGCCGACGAAAUGCACCAGGACUUGAUGGAAAUGUGAGGUUUACAAUGGCCCAGACAGCAGCUGUACGCAGUCGGCUGUCAUUACUCCGUAGGAACUUGAUUAUAAAAGAUUGAUUUUCAUUGUCCACUUGUGGAAGAAGUUGUUGCAUAACUGCUUCCUUAUGAAACUCAUUUCCACUGGCCACAUUGCCAAGCACAUACAUUCCCUACAUGAGAACAAUUUGGGUCAUUUGCAAUAAGCUAUAAAUGGUAAACUUCCAAAACCUGACUAAAUCCCAAUCUCUGAUACAGUUUUACCAAUCAUAAUAAAACAAAGGCAACAGUUGUGCACCAUGCUACCUGUACAAUUCAAAUCCUUACACAGGCAUAAAAUUGGAAACAAUCAAAACAAAUGAUUGCCAGUUGGCAUAAAAAAAUGUCUAGCUACUAUCAGAAAGGAGAUCAACCAUUGUAUCACCAAUUUAUUUAGGUUUACUUGCUUAAUAAACAAUUUUUCUACUUGCCUAUCAACAUCCAACUACUUAAAGAAUGCAUAAUUCAUUUGUUUCCCUAUAUGAUUGAUAAUUGAAAAUGAUUCAACUAAUUGCUUGGAUUUCACAAUUAUUAAUUAUAAAUGCACAUCUAAUUAUAAAUUUCCAAUGUACAAGUUGCAUGCGAUAGAUUGUCUGCCUCUCCUUGGAUGCAAAAUCCCCAAGUGCCUCAAAAUAUAAGACAACUAUGACAAUUACGCUUGAAGCAUGGUUUAUAUAAUUCAGUUUUUUUCUUUUAUACACUCAGGAUUAACUUCAUUUCACUAACAACAGGCACUACCCUUGCAGUAAUGUGAAGCAAUAAGUGAAGCAAUUUCCAUGUAAGAUAUAUAAUAAAAAUAUUACCACACUAUGACAAUAUUUCUCUAUCAGAAAUUAACAUCAAUAUGGCACCGAUAUCCAUAUAUAGCUGUUACUAAUUGUGAUUUAUGAUUUCAGUUUUCCAAACACUCUAAGCUAAUACAACUUCUAACCUGUAUGCCAAUUUCAGCUUUUGAAGUGCUCUCUAAUUGCUUUCUAACAGCAUCUAAUAUAAUACCAUUCUCAGUGAAGACAUACUCAACCGAGCUUAUACACCCAUCAAUAAGAUUCCGAACAAGGGCCAGAGCUUGCUCUUGAACAAAAGGAUUGUGGUCUGCAAAGGAAUUAACACAGGGUUUAUCUCCAAAAAUAAAGUAUCACCAUACUUGAGAGAACUAACAGUUGCAGACACUAUAAGCAUUACCACAGAUAAGGCUUGCUAACAAAGAAGCAGUAAGCUCCAUAAAAAUUCCUUCUUUACAUCUAUCAUCCGCCAGAAACACCAUGUUUUUCAAAGCCCAUAAUGCAUUUAACCUGACAGUUGACUCCAUUGAUUUUGAUAACUGAAUGAGCUGUUUUAAAGCUCCACAUUGCACAAAAGUGGAUUUUCCUGUCGUAAAAUCAACUAGUACGUUGCUAAUAGCACCAAGAGCUGCAACCUGGAAACAAUACAUUAAAUGGGAUUUUCCAUAUAAUUUUGUACUUAUCGACUUCAUUAGAAGAUUAUGAGCAGAUACCAAUUGAAACAUGUUGAAUAAGAACAACUGAGCAAAAGCAAAAUAAAAUUAGAAGUACCGUUCAAAUGACCAAUAUUUGAUUGGAAGCUGCAAUGCAGUCAUAUGAUAGCAGGCCGUUAAAUGGGCCUUAAUUGAACUAAAAAAAAAAAUGCUUUUUGUAAGCAAUGAAAGCACUUUAGAAAGAGUUCUGCCCUUUGCAAAAUGAUUUAAAUUUUUGGGAGAGUGUAAUGCACUUCAUUUCAAGACUUCAGAUUAUUCACAAUCACUGACAGGUUAAGCAAACACAAACCUGAACAGACGCCAAAGGGUCAUUUAAAAGCUGGACCAAAGGAAUAACAAGCACUUCAUUCAUAAAAUAUCCUGCACAUAAGUUCUUGAUUGACCGUGUGACACUUCUUAUGCAAAUACAAGCUGCAGUGCGUACAUCAGCACUAUCAUGAGUUAGUGCAUCAAUCACCAAAUUCAAAACCUGCAAUGACAGGAAUCUAGACCUGCAGUUCUCCAGCUUUGAGCAUAUAUCAGCCAAUGCCAGCAAUAUACCUUGGAAUCGCUUCGGAUGUAACCGAAAGUUUUGCAAGUGAUUUGAAAAUUUAUCAAGGGCAUUUGCCUCAAAAGCUAAUUUCUGUAGGUCCUCCUUUUCCAUGAUUAAACUGGAAAAAACAAAGGGAGCUUCAUCUCCAACUUGACCAGGAUCAUCAAGAAGCUCAAGUAACAGAUGUACCAAUUUGGUUUUGAUUCCUAUAUCUUGCAGAUAGCAAGAAGAAGAAUUCCUUAUGACAAUCAGGCACAUGCAGGAAAGCAGUCUUGUCCGUGGAUUCCUGUCCUUUGUCAAUCCCAUUAUAGAACCCAAAGCUCGUCCACUUUCUGGUCCCACAAACUUUGAGAUGACUUCAGGAUUGUUCCUGAACAAUGCAGCCAGAGACUCCAAGCUGGCAUCUCUCUGACAAAGAGAACCGUCAAGGAGGCUAAGAAGCUUAUGUAGAACCCCAGCAUCACAUAAUGACGUUUGCUCCAGACUUGUCUCACAAGAAUGCGUAAUGAUACUUGCACCAAGACCAGUAACAUUUUCACUCUCGCUGUUCAAUAAUGAAAUAAGGAAUUCCAUCUUUUUAUCUUUAAGGAAUUCAUAUUUUGGUGUUAGUUUAGACUGAUAGAUCAUUCUAAUGGAACGAGCACUAGCAUCCACCACCUUCUCAUCUGGAUUGGAAAGGAGCCGAACAAGGUAAGGGAAAGCGCCGGCAUCUAGAACGGCUCGGACACCGGCAUCAAAGCCGCAUGCAAAGCUCCCAAGAACCGCCGCAGACUGGAUAAUAAUGUUAUAAUUGUAGUGGUUACUAUUUUUAUCCGCGAUGCUGACGUCACCUUGCGCUAAUUGAGAGUCGGCUUCGGCAAGGAUGGAAGCAACGGUAGGAAUGGCGCCUAACUUGAGGAAGGCAAGUUUCUUGGUGCGAUUACCGAUGAUCUGGUUCUUGAUUUCUCUGAGGGCCUUGAGCUUGAUAUCAGGGUCAGGUGAGGCGAGACGGUUGAGGAGGUCCAUAGGGCGGUGAGCAAGGGCAGCGGAGGCAGUUGGCAUGGUGGCGUAUUGGCAUUAAAGCAAGCUCCACGAGGGAGCCGGAGGGUAUCGCCGGGCGGGAGAAAUUAAGCGAGAGGACAGGUUACGAG
This 4589-nucleotide unclassified non-coding RNA is filed under the name Hevea brasiliensis (rubber tree). The record is from RNAcentral. Lineage: Eukaryota; Viridiplantae; Streptophyta; Magnoliopsida; Malpighiales; Euphorbiaceae.